GAUGAACGCUGGCGGCGUGCCUAAUACAUGCAAGUCGAGCGAACGGACGAGAAGCUUGCUUUUCUGAUGUUAGCGGCGGACGGGUGAGUAACACGUGGAUAACCUACCUAUAAGACUGGGAUAACUUCGGGAAACCGGUGCUAAUACCGGAUAAUAUUUUGAACCGCAUGGUUCAAAAGUGAAAGACGGUCUUGCUGCCACUUUUAGAUGGAUCCGCGCUGCAUUAGCUAGUUGGUAAGGUAACGGCUUACCAAGGCAACGAUGCAUAGCCGACCUGAGAGGGUGAUCCGCCACACUGGAACUGAGACACGGUCCAGACUCCUACGGGAGGCAGCAGUAGGGAAUCUUCCGCGAUGGGCGAAAGCCUGACCGAGCAACGCCGCGUGAGUGAUGAAGGUCUUCGGAUCGUAAAACUCUGUUAUUAGGGAAGAACAUAUGUGUAAGUAACUGUGCACAUCUUGACGGUACCUAAUCAGAAAGCCACGGCUAACUACGUG
This 497-nucleotide ribosomal RNA is filed under the name uncultured bacterium. Its description in RNAcentral is "partial 16S ribosomal RNA". It matches the Rfam family "Bacterial small subunit ribosomal RNA", at positions 28 to 507 of the family's 1533-position model. The record is from RNAcentral.